CUGCAUAAAAUGCCCGAAGUCCUUGGACCCAAAUAUAAGAAUUUUGCAAGAUUUCCUUCUGAAGAGUCAACUCUUCUGCUCACUACACAUAUGGGUGCAAUCAAUUGAGGUCUCAAGAUGGUCAACAUGGAUAGUAAUAAGAGCUUCCUUUGUUUGGUUAUCUCUCAUGGGUUAUGCCCUGGUAUAUGAACUUUGAGGACCGUGUCCCACAGGCUCUUCAUAACAACUCUUCCAGGAAGAAAGGGGAUAGACCAUCGGGCUAUCCAUCAGGCUGUGAGCUGAAAUGGUGUGACAAUGUAGAAUCCACAAAUGGCAAGCCACCAAGCAGGAAUCCAACACCUUGCCAACAUAUCCCUAUGUCCCUCCAUGAAGCACUUGAGGAGUAUUCAAAAGGUACUUUGGCUGCUGCCAAAGUUGUUGAAGGAACAAAUCAAGGACACAAGGUUGAGAGAUGCAAUGUGGCAGAUUUCAAACAGGAGAGCUGCUGA
RNAcentral lists this long non-coding RNA (488 nucleotides) under Canis lupus familiaris (dog). Its description in RNAcentral is "lncRNA (ENSCAFG00030016510.1)". Lineage: Eukaryota; Metazoa; Chordata; Mammalia; Carnivora; Canidae. The record is from RNAcentral.